UGGGGAAUUUUGGACAAUGGGCGAAAGACUGAUCCAGCAAUGCCGCGUGUGUGAAGAAGGCCUUCGGGUUGUAAAGCACUUUUGUCCGGAAAGAAAUCCUUGGCUCUAAUACAGUCGGGGGGAUGACGGUACCGGAAGAAUAAGCACCGGCUAACUACGUGCCAGCAGCCGCGGUAAUACGUAGGGUGCAAGCGUUAAUCGGAAUUACUGGGCGUAAAGCGUGCGCAGGCGGUUUGCUAAGACCGAUGUGAAAUCCCCGGGUCUCAACCUGGGAACUGCAUUGGUGACUGGCAGGCUAGAGUAUGGCAGAGGGGGGUAGAAUUCCACGUGUAGCAGUGAAAUGCGUAGAGAUGUGGAGGAAUACCGAUGGCGAAGGCAGCCCCCUGGGCCAAUACUGACGCUCAUGCACGAAAGCGUGGGGGAGCAAACAGGAUUAGAUACCCUGGUAGUCCACGCCCUAAACGAUGUCAACUAGUUGUUGGGGAUUCAUUUCCUUAGUAACGUAGCUAACGCGUGAAGUUGACCGCCUGGGGAGUACGGUCGCAAGAUUAAAACUCAAAGGAAUUGACGGGGUCAUAGCUG
Molecule: ribosomal RNA, 582 nt
Filed under: uncultured bacterium
Lineage: Bacteria
Description: partial 16S ribosomal RNA
Rfam family: Bacterial small subunit ribosomal RNA
Source: RNAcentral